GGGACGAACGCUGGCGGCGUGCUUAACACAUGCAAGUCGAGCGGAAAGGCCCUUCGGGGUACUCGAGCGGCGAACGGGUGAGUAACACGUGAGUAACCUGCCCCUAGCUCUGGGAUAGCUCCGGGAAACCGGGAUUAAUACCAGAUACGACCACUUUAGACAUCUGUCGUGGUGGAAAGGAUUCCGGCUAGGGAUGGGCUCGCGGCCUAUCAGCUUGUUGGUGGGGUAACGGCCUACCAAGGCGACGACGGGUAGCUGGUCUGAGAGGAUGGCCAGCCACAUUGGGACUGAGAAACGGCCCAGACUCCUACGGGAGGCAGCAGUGGGAAUCUUGCGCAAUGGACGAAAGUCUGACGCAGCGACGCCGCGUGGGGAUGAAGGCUUCGGUUGUAACCCUGUUGCCGGGACGAACGCUUCUUUCGAGGAGCUUGACGGUACCGGGUGAGGAAGCACCGGCUAACUCUGUGCCAGCAGCCGC
RNAcentral lists this ribosomal RNA (478 nucleotides) under uncultured bacterium. Its description in RNAcentral is "SSU rRNA". It matches the Rfam family "Bacterial small subunit ribosomal RNA", at positions 27 to 518 of the family's 1533-position model. The record is from RNAcentral.